This 500-nucleotide ribosomal RNA is filed under the name uncultured bacterium. RNAcentral describes it as "partial 16S ribosomal RNA". It matches the Rfam family "Bacterial small subunit ribosomal RNA", at positions 30 to 523 of the family's 1533-position model. The record is from RNAcentral.
AUUGAACGCUGGCGGCAGGCCUAACACAUGCAAGUCGAGCGGAUGGCGGGAGCUUGCUCCUUGAUUCAGCGGCGGACGGGUGAGUAAUGCCUAGGAAUCUGCCUGGUAGUGGGGGACAACGUUUCGAAAGGAACGCUAAUACCGCAUACGUCCUACGGGAGAAAGCAGGGGACCUUCGGGCCUUGCGCUAUCUGAUGAGCCUAGGUCGGAUUAGCUUGUUGGUGAGGUAAUGGCUCACCAAGGCGACGAUCCGUAACUGGUCUGAGAGGAUGGUCAGUCACACUGGAACUGAGACACGGUCCAGAAUCCGACGGGAGGCAGCAGUGGGGAAUAUUGGACAAUGGGCGAAAGCCUGAUCCAGCCAUGCCGCGUGUGUGAAGAAGGUCUUCGGAUUGUAAAGCACUUUAAGUUGGGAGGAAGGGUUGUAGAUUAAUACUCUGCAAUUUUGACGUUACCGACAGAAUAAGCACCGGCUAACUCUGUGCCAGCCGCCGCAGUAA